Non-coding RNA from Paramuricea clavata, 416 nucleotides. Lineage: Eukaryota; Metazoa; Cnidaria; Anthozoa; Malacalcyonacea; Plexauridae. The record is from the annotation of a GenBank genome assembly.
GUCGUUAGAAAAAAUCCGUUUAUUUGUAUCGGUACUCUCUUACAAUAUAGAUACCUUGCAUCCUUGCGCAUUCAAUGGCCGCAAAAUUAAACACAAAUUAGUUGUUCCUAAAUACAACUGACAUUUUAAACAAGAAAUCUGUCAGUAUUCACAACUAUUUUAAACAUUUAGCAAAGAGUCAUUCAUUAAGGUGUCACUGGGAUGACGUGAUAAAUGUUAACGUUAUCAAAUAUUACGGCUGCAUUCCAUAAUUUUUACAAAUAAAUCUUAGCGCGUGCCAAGUAAAACGCGUCGCACAGCUAGAUUAUAUGCACACUUUUGGUAAAGAUCUCUGGAUAAAGAUAACACUCGCAGACUAGUUUUUCAAUGCAUUGACCCUAUAUACACAUUCCGAUCCAGCCAAAUAUCUUAAAUAG